This 24-nucleotide microRNA is filed under the name Zea mays. Its description in RNAcentral is "microRNA miR-3036d". The record is from RNAcentral. Lineage: Eukaryota; Viridiplantae; Streptophyta; Magnoliopsida; Poales; Poaceae.
GAUUUGGUGACCAGAGAAUUGGAG